This 30-nucleotide non-coding RNA is filed under the name Rattus norvegicus (Norway rat). The record is from RNAcentral. Lineage: Eukaryota; Metazoa; Chordata; Mammalia; Rodentia; Muridae.
UGAAUUUAUUGAGAGGUUUUCUCAGGAGUG